AUGGCAAAGCCAACAACAGAAGGCUGGAUCCGUCUCGCCCGCGUCAUUGUCGUCCUCCUCCUUCGGCACCGCGUCCUUCUUGGCAUCCAUCUCCACCUCCACCUCCACUGGAAAAAAGGUCGUCUGAUCAAGCCAGCGGGCGGAUACGGAACUGCAUUGGACGGCAAAACACGUCCAGACCACACGGUCCGAAUGUCAUCUCCUAGGUCACAUGGAGGAGAGGAGAGGAAAGUAGAUGGCGCAAAGACCAGGCCGAGUGGUUCCGCGCCAGAGGAAAUAGAAAGGUGCCCCAAGGAGGAAAAGACGAGGCCUGUUGGGGUCACUGACCACUGGACUAGCUACCUGCUUCCCCAUUUCAUAUCCCCGGCUAAGCGCGUCUGCCAAGAGGCUGCCCGGCUGGAGCGAGAGGUAUACUGCGACGGUGGGCUAGCUUCAAGGCGAUGGCGGACAACAACAACAACAACAACAACAACAACAACAACAACAACAACAACAUCAUCAGCGUGA
Molecule: ribosomal RNA, 507 nt
Filed under: Triticum aestivum (bread wheat)
Lineage: Eukaryota; Viridiplantae; Streptophyta; Magnoliopsida; Poales; Poaceae
Description: partial small subunit ribosomal RNA
Source: RNAcentral